UAGUAGAUAUCAAAAUUGGAUUUUUCUUCUUUUGAGUUUAGAUUGAAGAUUAAAAAUAAAAAUGAAUUUUCUAAAUUCUAAUAUAGAUUUUUUUUAAAGUCCGUCCAAAGCAAGCAAGCAAGCAGACCCUGCAGACGGAGAAGGAAAAAAACAUAUAUGACACAAUCAAUUCAAUAAUAGAGUCAAACAAGAGUUGGUGAAAAUGGUGUGGGGGAAGGAUUGGUGUUAAGGAGAAAGCUGUCGACGACGAUGAUGAUAAUAUGAUAUUAGUAUCUGUCGAUGUGUACCUUGCAGUGUUGUUGUUUGGUUUGGUUUUGGUUGGUUUGAGUGCGUAUUCUUUCUCACCUUCCUCUUCUUUCUUUCUGCUUGUUCUGCCGUUUUUAAACU
RNAcentral lists this long non-coding RNA (387 nucleotides) under Zostera marina. RNAcentral's name for it is "long non-coding RNA (ZMAR_LNC004165)". The record is from RNAcentral. Lineage: Eukaryota; Viridiplantae; Streptophyta; Magnoliopsida; Alismatales; Zosteraceae.